RNAcentral lists this ribosomal RNA (2912 nucleotides) under Nitrososphaerales archaeon. Its description in RNAcentral is "23S ribosomal RNA". It matches the Rfam family "Archaeal large subunit ribosomal RNA". Lineage: Archaea; Thermoproteati; Nitrososphaerota; Nitrososphaeria; Nitrososphaerales. The record is from RNAcentral.
UCUGGUGGAUGGCUAGGCUUGAGGGGCGAUGAAGGGCGUGGCAAGCUGCGAUAAGCCCUGGGUAGGCGCAAGCAGCCUUUGAUCCAGGGAUACCCGAAUGGGACUUCCUAUCGAAUUACCGCAAGGUAAUUCGAUGAUCCUUUUAGGAUUGCGAACCCUCCGAAAGGAAACAUCUGAGUAGGAGGAGGAAAAGAAAUCAAAUUGAGAUCUCCUUAGUAGCGGCGAGCGAAAAGGAGUUAGCCCAAACCGAAUCUAGCUUAGCAAUAGGCUAGAGAUGUGGUUUGAUGGCGUUUAAGUAGCCUCUAUCUUUAGCCGAAGUGGUCUGGAAAGGCCCAACGUAGAGGGUGAUAUUCCCGUAGGCGAAAAGGAUGGAGGUUACUGCCAUCAAGAAGAGUACCUGGCCUUGGCAGUGGCUAGGGAAGACGGGGGAAAGAGGCCUCCAAGGCUAAAUACCUCUCAAGACCGAUAGCGCAAUAGUACCGUGAGGGAAAGCUGAAAAGAACCCCGGAAGGGGGGUGAAAAGAGCCUGAAACCAGAUGGUUACAGACGUGUAUCGCCCGAAAGAGGCUAUCGAUCUGCUGAUUGCUGUUCGAAAGAAUGGCAUGAAGUGGAUCUAAUUGCCUCAGGGUGAUACGUUCCGUCUAGAAACACGGGCCAGGGAGUUUACCUUCAUGGCGAGCUUAAGGGUUAAAGCCCGAAGGCGAAGGGAAACCGACUUUCCGCAGCCAUGUUUUCAUGGUGAGGGAAGAGGUCCGAAAGGGCCUUUAGUCAUGAGGGUAAGACUAGAAACCGGACGAUCGUGCCCUGGGCAGGACGAAGCUGGGCGAAAGCCUGGUGGAGGUCCGAAAGGGUCCUGACGUGCAAAUCGGUCCCCUGACCUGGGGCAAGGGGCCAAAAGCCAAUCUAGUCCGGUGAUAGCUAGUUCCCAUCGAAGCGGAUCUAAGUCCGGCCUGGGUGGAUGCUGCCAGCGCUGUAGAGCACCGAUGAGUGGGCAAGGGUCCGAAAGGGCCCACCUGCUUUUCGAACUCCGAAGGUGCUGGUGCAUUAGAAGCCCAGAGACGGGUUUAUGUGGGGUAAGCCUCAUAACCGAGAGGGGGACAACCCAGACUAGAGUUAAGGUCCCAAAAUGUCGGCUAAGUGUCAAACAAAAGAGCGUCCUUGAGCUCAGACAGCAGGGAGGUAGGCUUAGAAGCAGCCAUCCUUUAAAGAGUGCGUAACAGCUCACCUGCCGAGCUUGGGGGCCUCGAAAAUGGACGGGGCUAAAGCCGACUACCGAUACUCUAGACCAUGAGCAUUGCUCAUGCGUGGUAGGUGGGCGUAGAGGCUGGGCAGAAGCAGGGCUGUGAAGUCCUGUGGACUGGCUUCUAUUGCAGAUCCUGGCGGUAGUAGCAGCGUAGUCGGGCGGGAAUCCCGACCACCGAAAGGGCAAGGUUUUCCUGGCAAUGCGUCGUCAGCCAGGAGUCAGCCGGUCCUAAGCUCAACCCCAAAGGAGUUGAGCGAAAGGGAAACUGGUUAAUAUUCCAGUGCCUUGAAGAUGUCGUGCGCGAAAGCGCAUACCCAGUCCUGAUUCUUCCAGAUAGGGUGAGCAAGGUUAUCGCCUUGUUUAAUCGUCCAAGAUCAUGGGAGUGUCGUAAUGACGAGAACUUGAUCGAGGCGAGAAUAGCCAGCCAUUUGGUUGGUUCGCUCGAUUCUGGGAGACCAUGAAAACAGGGUUGGGAAGGCAUCUUUAAGUCCGUACCGAGAACCGACACAGGUGCCCUAGGUGAGAAGCCUAAGGUGUAUCGGGUGUAAAGUAGGCGAGGGAACUAGGCAAAUUAGCCCCGUAACUUAGGGAUAAGGGGUGCCUGCAGUCUUAGCGAAAAGCUGGGAUUGCAGGUCGCAGUGACUAGGGGGUCCCGACUGUUUAAUAAAAACACAGGAGGCUGCAAAUCCGAAAGGACUAGUACAGCCUCUGAAUCCUGGCCAGUGGCGGUACCUAAAACCUGGGUACAACUGGGCUAAGGGCCGCUUAACGCCGGGAGUAACUCUGACUCUCUUAAGGUAGCCAAAUGCCUUGUCGGGUGAGUUCCGACGUGCAUGAAUGGAUCAACGAGGGCCCCGCUGUCCCCGCCUACAACCCGGCGAACCCACAUAACGUGGACGAACAGUCCACGAACCCCCAUCGGGAAAAGAAGUCCCUGUGGAGCUUUACUGCAGCUUGUCGUUGCGAUGCGGUUGUGGUUGCAGAGAGUAGCUGGGAGCCAGUGAAGGCACUUUUCUGGAAGUGCUAAAGGCGAAAGUGUAACACCAGCCUUCUAUGACUGUGUCGCUAACCUAGAGAUAGGGACACCGGCAGGUGGGCAGUUCGGCUGGGGCGGCACCCCCUUGAAAAAGUAUCGAGGGGGCCCAAAGGUCGGCUCAGGUGGGUCAGAAAUCCACCGUGGAGGGCAAGGCCAAAAGCCGGCCUGACUGUAUCCUCAAACGCGAGGGAUAAAGAGGCGAAAGCCGGGCCUAGCGAUCCUUCAUGUCCCCACCUUUGGGGGCUGGAGGCGACAGAAAAGUUACCCCAGGGGUAACAGGCUCGUCGCGGGCGAGAGUUCCCAUCGACCCCGCGGUUUGGUACCUCGAUGUCGGCUCUUCCCAUCCUGGUCCUGCAGCAGGGGCCAAGGGCGGGGCUGCUCGCCCAUUAAAGGGGAACGUGAGCUGGGUUUAGACCGUCGUGAGACAGGUCGGUCUUUAUCUGAUGGGGGCGGAGGUCAUCUGAGGGGAAGUUGUCCUCAGUACGAGAGGAACGGGGCAACGCGGCCUCUGGUAUACCGGUUGUCCGAGAGGGCAGAGCCGGGCAGCUAAGCCGUUAGGAAUAAGAGCUGAAAGCAUCUAAGCUCGAAGUCCUUCCCGAGAAAAGAUGGCCUUCCACAGAGCCUCGAAAGAGG